RNAcentral lists this ribosomal RNA (269 nucleotides) under uncultured prokaryote. RNAcentral describes it as "partial 16S ribosomal RNA". It matches the Rfam family "Bacterial small subunit ribosomal RNA", at positions 524 to 792 of the family's 1533-position model. The record is from RNAcentral.
AACGUAGGGGUCGAGCGUUAUCCGGAUUUACUGGGCGUAAAGAGCAUGUAGGCGGUUGCUUAAGUCGGACGUGAAAGCUCCUGGCUCAACUAGGAGAGGCCGUUCGAAACUGAGUAACUCGAGGAUGGUAGAGGAGAGUGGAAUUCCCGGUGUAGUGGUGAAAUGCGUAGAUAUCGGGAGGAACACCAGUGGCGAAGGCGGCUCUCUGGGCCAUUCCUGACGCUGAGAUGCGAAAGCUAGGGGAGAGAACGGGAUUAGAUACCCCCGUA